This 912-nucleotide ribosomal RNA is filed under the name Phacidium lacerum. RNAcentral's name for it is "LSU rRNA". It matches the Rfam family "Eukaryotic large subunit ribosomal RNA", at positions 38 to 966 of the family's 3401-position model. Lineage: Eukaryota; Fungi; Ascomycota; Leotiomycetes; Phacidiales; Phacidiaceae. The record is from RNAcentral.
GCAUAUCAAUAAGCGGAGGAAAAGAAACCAACAGGGAUUGCCUCAGUAACGGCGAGUGAAGCGGCAACAGCUCAAAUUUGAAAUCUGGCUCUUUCAGGGUCCGAGUUGUAAUUUGUAGAGGAUGUUUCGGGUGUGGCUCCGGUCUAAGUUCCUUGGAACAGGACGUCAUAGAGGGUGAGAAUCCCGUAUGUGACUGGUAGCCUAUGCCCAUGUGAAACUCCUUCGACGAGUCGAGUUGUUUGGGAAUGCAGCUCAAAAUGGGUGGUAAAUUUCAUCUAAAGCUAAAUAUUGGCCAGAGACCGAUAGCGCACAAGUAGAGUGAUCGAAAGAUGAAAAGCACUUUGGAAAGAGAGUUAAACAGUACGUGAAAUUGUUGAAAGGGAAGCGCUUGCAACCAGACUUGCAUGUAGCUGAUCAACCGGUGUUCUCACCGGUGCACUCAGUUGCGUUCAGGCCAGCAUCGGUUUCGACGGUUGGAUAAAGGCCUUGGGAAUGUAGCUCCUUUCGGGGAGUGUUAUAGCCCAGGGUGCAAUGCAGCCUGUCGGGACCGAGGACCGCGCUUCGGCUAGGAUGCUGGCGUAAUGGUUGUAAGCGACCCGUCUUGAAACACGGACCAAGGAGUCUAACAUCUAUGCGAGUGUUUGGGUGUCAAACCCAUACGCGUAAUGAAAGUGAACGGAGGUGAGAACCCUUAAGGGUGCAUCAUCGACCGAUCCUGAUGUCUUCGGAUGGAUUUGAGUAAGAGCAUAGCUGUUGGGACCCGAAAGAUGGUGAACUAUGCCUGAAUAGGGUGAAGCCAGAGGAAACUCUGGUGGAGGCUCGCAGCGGUUCUGACGUGCAAAUCGAUCGUCAAAUUUGGGUAUAGGGGCGAAAGACUAAUCGAACCAUCUAGUAGCUGGGUUCCUGCCGAAG